UGGGGAAUCUUGGACAAUGGGCGCAAGCCUGAUCCAGCCAUGCCGCGUGAGUGACGAAGGCCUUAGGGUUGUAAAGCUCUUUUGGCGGGGACGAUAAUGACGGUACCCGCAGAAUAAGUCCCGGCUAACUUCGUGCCAGCAGCCGCGGUAAUACGAAGGGGACUAGCGUUGUUCGGAAUUACUGGGCGUAAAGCGCACGUAGGCGGAUGGGUAAGUGGGUCGUGAAAGCGCCGGGCUAAACCGGGCGAGGACGAUACAGACUGCUCGUCUAGAGGCGGAUAGAGGGGUGCGGAAUUCCGGGUGUAGCGGUGAAAUGUGUAGAGAUCCGGAGGAACACCAGUGGUGCAAACGGCGCCCUGGGUCCGAACUGACGCUGAGGCACGAAAGCGUGGGGAGCGAACGGGAUUAGAUACCCAAGUAGUCCCUGAGCGGGCUGGCAAGGCGCAU
Molecule: ribosomal RNA, 447 nt
Filed under: uncultured bacterium
Lineage: Bacteria
Description: bacterial SSU rRNA
Rfam family: Bacterial small subunit ribosomal RNA
Source: RNAcentral